UCCCUACGGGACGAGCAGUGGGGAAUAUUGGGCAAUGGGCGCAAGCCUGACCCAGCAACGCCGCGUGAAGGAAGAAGGCCCUCGGGUUGUAAACUUCUUUUAUUCGGGACGAAACAAAUGACGGUACCGAACGAAUAAGCCACGGCUAACUACGUGCCAGCAGCCGCGGUAAUACGUAGGUGGCAAGCGUUAUCCGGAUUUACUGGGUGUAAAGGGCGUGUAGGCGGGGGCGCAAGUCAGACGUGAA
RNAcentral lists this ribosomal RNA (247 nucleotides) under uncultured bacterium. Its description in RNAcentral is "partial 16S ribosomal RNA". It matches the Rfam family "Bacterial small subunit ribosomal RNA", at positions 335 to 598 of the family's 1533-position model. The record is from RNAcentral.